Molecule: ribosomal RNA, 450 nt
Filed under: uncultured bacterium
Lineage: Bacteria
Description: partial 16S ribosomal RNA
Rfam family: Bacterial small subunit ribosomal RNA
Source: RNAcentral
GUGGGGAAUAUUGGACAAUGGGCGAAAGCCUGAUCCAGCCAUGCCGCGUGUGUGAAGAAGGUCUUCGGAUUGUAAAGCACUUUAAGUUGGGAGGAAGGGUAGUAACCUAAUACGUUGCUACUUUGACGUUACCGACAGAAUAAGCACCGGCUAACUUCGUGCCAGCAGCCGCGGUAAUACGAAGGGUACAAGCGUUAAUCGGAAUUACUGGGCGUAAAGCGCGCGUAGGUGGUUCAGUAAGUUGGAAGUGAAAUCCCCGGGCUCAACCUGGGAACUGCUUUCAAAACUGCUGAGCUAGAGUGCGGUAGAGGGUGGUGGAAUUUCCUGUGUAGCGGUGAAAUGCGUAGAUAUAGGAAGGAACACCAGUGGCGAAGGCGACCACCUGGACUGAUACUGACACUGAGGUGCGAAAGCGUGGGGAGCAAACAGGAUUAGAUACCCGAGUAGUCC